Molecule: long non-coding RNA, 607 nt
Organism: Gasterosteus aculeatus aculeatus (three-spined stickleback)
Lineage: Eukaryota; Metazoa; Chordata; Actinopteri; Perciformes; Gasterosteidae
Source: Ensembl
AAAAAGGUUGAGAUCAAAAUUCAAAAGGCAAAAACUCAAAAUCUCUCUUAAACGAGGAAACGUAACAGGGAUCAAAAGGACGUGACAAACGUUAUCGGACUUGACUUGACUCGUGACGUGAGGGCUGGGCUGGUGUGCAGGGCAAAACAACAAGACACACUGGCACAGGACAAGGGGCGACGCAGACUAUAAGUACCCAAGAGGGAGUUGUGGGAACAGGUGGACACAAUCAGGAAUCAGGGGAGACAAUCAGACUGGUGACACAUGAGGAAGGGCAAGGGACCUGAAACGAGAGGGAGUUAGUUUCCAAAAUAAAACAGGAAGUCAAAAAACAACUGGAGACAGGACAAAAACGCAACUUGACAUACAGGUGUGACAGUAUGUGAUUGGAGGACCCUUAGACUCCUCGUCCAAUCACGUGUGAGGGCAUAGGCAUGACUGAUACAGCAGUACUUGGAAGACGAGCAUACGAACAAACACGUGUUACUAUAUUCAGAAGAACUGUAUCUCCAGUUCCUUUGUUUGGUUUUUGCUGGUUCGUGAAUAAUGGCGGGACGACGUCUCGCGUUCAACUCGCCUUCAACUCCUCUCCGCGGUCACCAACUUU